RNAcentral lists this long non-coding RNA (255 nucleotides) under Elaeis guineensis (African oil palm). RNAcentral's name for it is "long non-coding RNA (EGUI_LNC025764)". The record is from RNAcentral. Lineage: Eukaryota; Viridiplantae; Streptophyta; Magnoliopsida; Arecales; Arecaceae.
GAUUAUUUGGAACCCUUCUAAUUAUCGAACCACCAAUGAAUAAAAACACACUCUCUUAUGUCAAUUUUCUAUCAUCAACAUCAGAUAUAGUCUGAUUUAGUGUAUCCUUCUACCCUCAACUCUUUUCCUACUCUAAAUUCAAGAAUAUAUCCUAAGUUCUUUUAUGUACUUAAGAAUGUUCUUCACAGCUGUCUAGUGCUCUUAGCUUGGAUUCGAUCGAUAUUUGCUCAUGAAGCUCACAGUAAAAGCUCUGUC